CAGUUUAGUUAAUCUAUGGUCCACGAUUUAAUGAUCAGAUGAUAUUGAUUAACAUAAUCAUUUUACUGCAAGAUAUUAAUAUAUGAUUGUUAUGAGUACCAACCCAGGUUUCAGUUUAUUCUUGUGUUUUCAUUGAAGCCAGCGAUAGGAUCUAUAGCAUGUUUUCCCCGCUGCCGCUAAAUAGGCUAUUUGCUUAACAGUGGGCUGAUGUUGUCAUUUUGAACUUCAACUCUGAAGUAGUGUGCUUAAUUUUUGACAUGUUCAAUGGAGGCGCUGGGUGAAGUUCAUCUUAUCUCAAUUGGGUAAAGCACAAAAUACAACUCAUUCACUUUGCAGGACAUGAGCAUCUCUUAGUUUGCAACACAACAGCUUUGUUCAAGAGAUGCAGUUGAUUAUAUUUGCUGUCUUUCUAGGCUUAUGCCCUAUGCAUAUGUUAAGAGUUCUAGAUGUAAUUCUAUAUGUUUUGGUAAACCGAGACUCUUGCUUAAUAGAUCAUUUUAUCAUGAUCUUCACGAUGAAUUUGUUGUGAAGUAUGCAAUGAUUUUAUUAUGGGAGUUCACUCGCGGCAACCUUCUAAGGCCGAAACGUUUUUUCA
Long non-coding RNA from Lolium rigidum, 595 nucleotides. RefSeq lists it as uncharacterized. Lineage: Eukaryota; Viridiplantae; Streptophyta; Magnoliopsida; Poales; Poaceae. The record is from RefSeq and is a predicted model, not a curated record. The transcript is spliced from 2 exons.